Molecule: ribosomal RNA, 443 nt
Filed under: uncultured bacterium
Lineage: Bacteria
Description: partial 16S ribosomal RNA
Rfam family: Bacterial small subunit ribosomal RNA
Source: RNAcentral
CCUACGGGAGGCUGCAGUGGGGAAUAUUGGACAAUGGGGGGAACCCUGAUCCAGCGACGCCGCGUGAGUGAAGAAGUAUUUUGGUAUGUAAAGCUCUAUCAGCAGGGAAGAAAGAAAUGACGGUACCUGACUAAGAAGCCCCGGCUAACUACGUGCCAGCAGCCGCGGUAAUACGUAGGGGGCAAGCGUUAUACGGAUUUACUGGGUGUAAAGGGAGCGUAGACGGCGAUGCAAGUCUGAAGUGAAAGGCGGGGGCCCAACCCCCGGACUGCUUUGGAAACUGUAUGGCUGGAGUGCAGGGGAGGUAAGUGGAAUUCCUAGUGUAGCGGUGAAAUGCGUAGAUAUUAGGAGGAACACCAGUGGCGAAGGCGGCUUACUGGACUGUAACUGACGUUGAGGCUCGAAAGCGUGGGGAGCAAACAGGAUUAGAUACCCUUGUAGUC